GUAGUCCACGCUGUAAACGUUGGGCACUAGGUGUGGCGACCCGACCAACGGUUGCCGUGCCGAAGCUAACGCAUUAAGUGCCCCGCCUGGGGAGUACGGCCGCAAGGCUAAAACUCAAAGGAAUUGACGGGUCCCCGCACAAGCGGCGGAGCAUGCGGCUUAAUUCGAUGCAACCCGAAGAACCUUACCUGGGUUUGACAUUAUGGGAAAAGCCGUAGAGAUACGGUGUCCGAAAGGGCCCAUAACAGGUGGUGCAUGGCUGUCGUCAGCUCGUGUCGUGAGAUGUUGGGUUAAGUCCCGCAACGAGCGCAACCCUUGUCCCUAGUUGCCAGCGGGUCAUGCCGGGAACUCUAGGGAGACUGCCGGUGCCAAACCGGAGGAAGGUGGGGAUGACGUCAAGUCAUCAUGCCCCUUAUGUCCAGGGCUGCACGCAUGCUACAAUGCGCGGUACAAAGGGCUGCGAUCCCGUAAGGGGGAGCGAAUCCCAAAAAGCCGCGCUCAGUUCGGAUCGAGGUCUGCAACCCGACCUCGUGAAGUCGGAGUCGCUAGUAAUCGCAGAUCAGCAAUGCUGCGGUGAAUA
RNAcentral lists this ribosomal RNA (580 nucleotides) under uncultured Actinomycetes bacterium. Its description in RNAcentral is "bacterial SSU rRNA". It matches the Rfam family "Bacterial small subunit ribosomal RNA", at positions 790 to 1368 of the family's 1533-position model. Lineage: Bacteria; Bacillati; Actinomycetota; Actinomycetes. The record is from RNAcentral.